Molecule: ribosomal RNA, 495 nt
Filed under: uncultured bacterium
Lineage: Bacteria
Description: partial 16S ribosomal RNA
Rfam family: Bacterial small subunit ribosomal RNA
Source: RNAcentral
AUGCACGCUGGCGGCGUGCCUCAUACAUGCCAGUCGCGCGAACAGACGAGGAGCUUGCUCCUCUGACGUUAGCGGCGGACGGGUGAGUAACACGUGGAUAACCUACCUAUAAGACUGGGAUAACUUCGGGAAACCGGAGCUAAUACCGGAUAAUAUAUUGAACCGCAUGGUUCAAUAGUGAAAGACGGUUUUGCUGUCACUUAUAGAUGGAUCCGCGCCGCAUUAGCUAGUUGGUAAGGUAACGGCUUACCAAGGCAACGAUGCGUAGCCGACCUGAGAGGGUGAUCGGCCACACUGGAACUGAGACACGGUCCAGACUCCUACGGGAGGCAGCAGUAGGGAAUCUUCCGCAAUGGGCGAAAGCCUGACGGAGCAACGCCGCGUGAGUGAUGAAGGUCUUCGGAUCGUAAAACUCUGUUAUUAGGGAAGAACAAAUGUGUAAGUAACUAUGCACGUCUUGACGGUACCUAAUCAGAAAGCCACGGCUAACUACGU